This 72-nucleotide transfer RNA is filed under the name Bos taurus (domestic cattle). It matches the Rfam family "tRNA". From Rfam's summary of the family: Transfer RNA (tRNA) molecules are approximately 80 nucleotides in length. Their secondary structure includes four short double-helical elements and three loops (D, anti-codon, and T loops). Further hydrogen bonds mediate the characteristic L-shaped molecular structure. tRNAs have two regions of fundamental functional importance: the anti-codon, which is responsible for specific mRNA codon recognition, and the 3' end, to which the tRNAs corresponding amino acid is attached (by aminoacyl-tRNA synthetases). tRNAs cope with the degeneracy of the genetic code in two manners: having more than one tRNA (with a specific anti-codon) for a particular amino acid; and 'wobble' base-pairing, i.e. permitting non-standard base-pairing at the 3rd anti-codon position. The record is from Rfam by way of RNAcentral. Lineage: Eukaryota; Metazoa; Chordata; Mammalia; Artiodactyla; Bovidae. RNAcentral also lists the same sequence under 1 other name.
UCCCUGGUGGCUAAGAUGGUAAAGAAUCUACCUGCGAUGUGGGAGACCUAGGUUUGAUCCCCGGCUAGGGAA